RNAcentral lists this ribosomal RNA (312 nucleotides) under Triticum aestivum (bread wheat). RNAcentral's name for it is "partial small subunit ribosomal RNA". The record is from RNAcentral. Lineage: Eukaryota; Viridiplantae; Streptophyta; Magnoliopsida; Poales; Poaceae.
AUGAAUCGUACGUUGAGGUCGACGCAGAGGUGCACGAUGAGAAUGAAAAUGAUGAUGCAAGAGAUCCCGGAGCCCGACUAUGAUACUCGGUUCGGGAGGACCGGCAACUACAUGGAGACGGAGGAUGUGUGCUUAGUUAAAGCAUGGGAAAGCAUCUCUCUUGACUCCAUCACCGGAAAGGAUCAAACUUAUAACAACUAUUGGCAAAGGAUGGAAGACAAAUUUCAUCAAAUGAUGCCAUUCCCAUCCGGUCGGAGCUUGAAGGGCCUUCAAGGCUGUUGUGACACCAUCAACAAAGCUUGCUCCCGUUAG